GUGGUUUGGAGCUGGGGCGAGGUGCUGAGUGGCUGGGAAGAGUCUGGGUUUUGGAGCCAGGAGACCUGGCUCCAGUCAUCACACAAGCUUCUCCACCUCCCGGGACCUGUUUCCUCUUCUGAAUGUAAGGGAAUUGAGGAAGAUGAUUCACGUGCUCCUUUCCAGCCAUCACUACCCACGGACUUCCAAGGAUCUCUUGCUGUCCUCUUUCUUCCUUAGCAUCCCUCCCUCCAAGAAAAAUCCCACCUGCCACCUUGUUGCUGACACCCACAGCAAGAGAACCCACCACCUUCUGUCACUGUGAUGCUGGUAAAUUGCCCUGAAAGUUUUAAUGAAUAAAGGAAUAAAUUAAUAAUGACUAGAAAAACAUCCCAUUAAAACAGUGUGUGUUUGGGGCACUGAGCUGACAUCUGGUGAGUGAUGACUGAUCAUCUUAUGAUAAAAGACCCCCUUUCUCCCCCCACUUCCUGACUCAUAAGAGUUUUUAUCAGCACGGUUAUAUAAAAGAACAGAGCAUAAGGGAAAUUAUUGUUUAAUUUCAAAAACACAAAUGAAUCACUAAUAUAAAGUAUGCUUUUGCUUCACGCUUUCAAGCCCGAGGUGACUCACAGCACCGCGCUGUGUUUUCAAAGAGAUGAGCUCAGAGCAGGGUUGCAAUUCUGCAGUGUAACACGAUGUAACAGGUAGACAAAUGAAGACACAAAUGUCACAUCAUUAUCAGAGCCAGGAAGGAAACACAAUUAGGGGGCAGUGUGUUGGUGGGUGCCAGGAAGUGCUGAGCCCUGAUGGAGAAGAAGGCCCGGCCAUGCACAAACCACACAGAGUGCUCCGGGCACAAGCGAGAACAGGAGCAAAGGCCCUGAGGUCAGAACAAAGGUGGCUCAAGGCUGCGACCACAUUUAACUCCCAAAAGAGAAGCUGACUUUGAAGGGAUUACCCUUGGAGCUCCCAAGGACUGAUACCGACCCUGGGAUUAGCCACUGGAACAGGCCGCUAGGACAAUGGACUGAGAUAGUCAGGAUUCUUCUGGUUGUUCUACUGCCUUCCCACGCCCCUCUCUCCCCUCAAAUCAGUUAGCACAGCGGCUGGCCUCCCGGAUUGCACUCAGAUACGUAGCGAUAAGCGUCCCAGGCACCCAGGCACGGCCAGAGCUACAACGGGACCGGUGAUGGGCAAGCCUGCCACAAGUAAGUGGGCUUUUUGUGAAAAUGCCUGCUGCUAGAGGUCAUGACGUCUCUGUGCUCUCGGGAAGGACGUCCAGGCCUCCCUCGGCCCGGUAGGUUUCACCUCUGGCCUUGGACUUUCUUUUUUGGAGGAACAACAUAUGUCACAGGCAACUUUUUUUUUUUUUUUUUUGACAUGACAAUACCUGGAAUAAUGAGAUAUGUAAAGAACAAUGAGGAGCGAAGCGUUUCUAAGUUUAUUUUGAGCAGCCGUUACCUUCCACCAGUGCCUUUCAAAUGUCACUUAAUGAGUGUUCUCCUGUUUGUAGCGAAGCACAAAACUUCUUGGCUGUUCUUCAAAGUAUCUGAGAAUCUUUUAACUCUGUGCUGAACUAUGUGGCAAGUCGCUCCACAAUUAAAGCACUCAAAACCUUUAUUUUGAAAAGCCUACGAGGUGCCCAUCAAAGCAGAGAGCCCCUUCCCUUUUCGGUAUGUACUGAGCUCGCUCCUCUGGAAAUGUCAGCCGUGUCCUCAUUUAAAUAAUGUGACAGCUCCCGAGAAGACAUCUGAUGGGCGUCUCAGUCAAUUGUUAAAAGUACAGCAAAGAAAGUCCAAGAAGUUUCUUUUCUUUUCCCCCCUAAAGAAUUUAUCAUUAAUAAUUCACAUGAGCUACCUCAUAGGUGGUUGCCUACUGAAUGCAAGGAUCUCAUUGCUGUCUUCCGGCAAAUGGGAACUGGGAAGACUCAUUUGAACAUGAAGGACAUCUGGGAUUUUUCACCUGAAAGAAAAAACAAAGCCUCAGGACUGCUCCAAUAGGUUUCACACAUUCCAAAACGUAUGCAGGAAUGUCUAAACGCAGAAGGACUUGAUAUAAAUCACUAAACACGCAUAUUUUAAAAAUGCGUUUUGACCCAAAGCGCCUGAAUUUUUCAUUUACAACCACAGAGCAGCUCACUAAAAAUCCAAUCUCGUUGGCGCCUGGCACAUCACAGUUUUUUUCUGAAAAAUGCUCAAUGCUCCAAAUGCUUCUGGAGCUCUUGGAACUUUUAU
This is a long non-coding RNA of Lutra lutra (Eurasian river otter), 2213 nucleotides long. RefSeq lists it as uncharacterized. The transcript has 3 exons. The record is from RefSeq and is a predicted model, not a curated record. Lineage: Eukaryota; Metazoa; Chordata; Mammalia; Carnivora; Mustelidae.